UGUGCACUGGUGGGGUCCCUCAGCCUGGCCUGUGGGGAUCGGGCUGAAACCGGGCCUCCCACAUCCCCCAAGGGGUUCCGGACUGCGAGAGGGCACAGGCCAGGCUGAGGGACUCCACUGGUGCACA
RNAcentral lists this microRNA precursor (127 nucleotides) under Myotis davidii. Its description in RNAcentral is "mir-9193 microRNA precursor family". It matches the Rfam family "mir-9193 microRNA precursor family". The record is from Rfam by way of RNAcentral. Lineage: Eukaryota; Metazoa; Chordata; Mammalia; Chiroptera; Vespertilionidae.